Molecule: ribosomal RNA, 468 nt
Filed under: uncultured bacterium
Lineage: Bacteria
Description: partial 16S ribosomal RNA
Rfam family: Bacterial small subunit ribosomal RNA
Source: RNAcentral
GACGAACGCUGGCGGCGUGCUUAACACAUGCAAGUCGAACGGAAAGGCCCUGCUUUUGUGGGGUGCUCGAGUGGCGAACGGGUGAGUAACACGUGAGUAACCUGCCCUUGACUUUGGGAUAACUUCAGGAAACUGGGGCUAAUACCGGAUAGAAGCUCCUGCUGCAUGGUGGGGGUUGGAAAGUUUCGGCGUUUGGGGAUGGACUCGCGGCUUAGCAGUUUGUUGGUGGGGUAGUGGCUUACCAAGGCUUUGACGGGUAGCCGGCCUGAGAGGGUGACCGGCCACAUUGGGACUGAGAUGCGACCCAGACUGCUACGGGAGGCAGGAGUGGGGAAUAGUGCACGAUGGGCGGAAGCCUGAUGCAGCAACGCCGCGUGCGGGAUGACGGCCUUCGGGUUGUAAACCGCUUUCGCCUGUGACGAAGCGUGAGUGACGGUAAUGGGUAAAGAAGCACCGGCUAACUACGUG